UCAACACGUGAAUCCUGCACGACAACUAGCGCGGAACAUCAAACCCGGACGUCAUGCGCACUUGGGACUGUGAUCGGCGGUGUUGUUGGAGGAAUCUUUAUCGGGAUAAUAGCAACAACUUUGGUAGCCAUAAUAGUCCAUCGUAAGAUACAAGGCAAACCAGUCAAGACCGAAGAUCCAGGUCAAACACACAAUGCAGCCUAUGAAGACGCUGAUAUUGCGGAGAGUUCCCUCACCAAAAGUGAUGCUUAUGGUGUUGUCGAAUCCGCCCAGCAACCACAGUAUGAAUUUGUUUGCCCGCAGUAACUCACUGAUUGUGCACAUUUAAUCAUGCUCUAUAGUUUGGUGUGCUUCUCUGUGUUCUUUGCCUAUUGUUUUGGCUCAGCACAAUUCAUCUCAGUAUACAUUCUUGCAUUUCUACCCGUCGCAACGAUUUUCUUAAUCAGUUUGUUUUGCAAUUCCUCAGUUUGGUGUUUAGUUUUUAAUAGUUUUAUUCCAAACAAUACAUGGCUGGGGUAGCCAAUGACCACUUUGCGUGGCGAUUGCAGGUUUUUUAUAACCACAACGUACUGUCCACCGCCUUCUUUAUUCUCAUUCUAUCUUUGGAUUAUUUUAUUCUGGGAGCGUGCUCCCAACGAAUUCAGAGAUUGACUUUCAACCGUGGCUUUUCCUUGCAGCUCAAAAGAGUUAAUUUCAAAUCUAUGCCUUCAACUCACGUUGUGCUCAGCGGAGCACACAACUUAUCCAUAACUAGGCUCAACACACUCGCCCCCAAACACAAUUUACCAUUAAAUCGCGUUAACGCUUUUUCCAGGGUUAUUAGUGGUACUUAAAAUGUAAGAUUGUUUUCCAUUUUAAAGAAACUUGUAAUGUUGUUUCUUCUUUUCCAAUACUCUCUGAUUGACUUCAUAUGCAUACACACACUUCACGUCGUCUUUUUCUCUCAAUUUUUAUCCCGCAAUCAUUUCUCACUUUUCUCGUAUAAAACUGUUUCAUAUUUCUAUCCUUUUUCCGGAUGUGUUUUUCCAUGUACACGUAAAAAAGAAUAUGAUUGAUGCAGAGGGAUUUUGGGAUUGCAAUAAAGAGAAUCAGCUGAA
Long non-coding RNA from Sycon ciliatum, 1097 nucleotides. RefSeq lists it as uncharacterized. The record is from RefSeq and is a predicted model, not a curated record. Lineage: Eukaryota; Metazoa; Porifera; Calcarea; Leucosolenida; Sycettidae. The transcript is spliced from 2 exons.